Molecule: ribosomal RNA, 531 nt
Filed under: uncultured bacterium
Lineage: Bacteria
Description: bacterial SSU rRNA
Rfam family: Bacterial small subunit ribosomal RNA
Source: RNAcentral
UAGAGUUUGAUCCUGGCUCAGGACGAACGCUGGCGGCGUGCCUAAUACAUGCAAGUCGAGCGGGUUUGUCCCUUCGGGGACAAGCUAGCGGCGGACGGGUGAGUAACACGUAGGUAACCUGCCCAUGGGACUGGGAUAACGUCGGGAAACCGAUGCUAAUACCGGAUAGGUGAUUCUCUUGCAUAAGGGAAUCUGGAAAGACGGCGCAAGCUGUCACCGAUGGAUGGGCCUGCGGCGCAUUAGCUAGUUGGUGAGGUAACGGCUCACCAAGGCGACGAUGCGUAGCCGACCUGAGAGGGUGAUCGGCCACACUGGGACUGAGACACGGCCCAGACUCCUACGGGAGGCAGCAGUAGGGAAUCUUCGGCAAUGGGCGAAAGCCUGACCGAGCAACGCCGCGUGAGUGAUGAAGGCUUUCGGGUCGUAAAACUCUGUUGCCAGAGAAGAACGUCCGGUAGAGUAACUGCUAUCGGAGUGACGGUAUCUGAGAAGAAAGCCCCGGCUAACUACGUGCCAGCAGCCGCGGUAAUA